UUGAGGAGGUAAUUUAGGCAUUGAAAUAGCUGUGUUGGAUCAAGGACACAUCUGAAACCUGCAGGACACCGGCCCUCGAGGCCUGGAAUUGGACACCUGUGAUCUAGCACACCAUUACAUGGGGAAAUCUUUUGAAUACAAGCACGCUGAUUCACACAGGUGUGCACACGGGUGUUCACUGUUCAUAGACAUAAACUACACCUUUAUUGGCUGCUAUUUCCAAGCACAUUGUGCGCUGUCGGUCCUUCUUGCUACACAACAACAUUCGAUAUUUAGUAUUUACUGCUGUUUACACUUGGCUAGAUUAACGUGAUGGUGUUGUGUUUAGUUUGUUGCUCUGGGUUUUUUUUUUUGCUUGUUUUCUCUUCUUUUUCUGUCAACAGGUGAUCCAGGAGAUUUUUUUUCUUCUUUCUCUUUUUAAGUGCCCUUUCUCACUGUCCCUCCUUUUGCUUCUUGUUCGCUCUCUUUUAUUGUCUUCUCUCACUGUCCCGUUUCUCCUCUGUUUUUCUUCACCCCCCCCCCCCCCCCUCUUUCUGUUAGGGUGAAAUUGUUAAAUGUUGCCAUUAUUGUACGUACAUUUUUAAGCCUUGGUUCAAACUGUAUGAUCAAAGACAUUCUGUUUCUGUCCUUAUUUAGUGAGGAUGUUUACUUCUUUCAAUUUAUGGCCCCGCCUGUGCUUGUGUAUGGGUGACCAUUAAAGGGGUUGAGGCAUAUACAGGGUGAGGGGAGAUGACCCUUUGUGAUCAGCAGGAAGUCACACAAAAACACCCACAUCCACACACAGACUCACACACGUGCACACACACACGUGCACACACACACGUGCACACACACACACGUGCACACACACACACACACACACACACACACACACACACACACACACACAUGCUCGUACAUGCAUACGCACACACUCAGUGCCUUAGUUUUAUGACGCACUAUAGGGUUUUUUUUUACGAUGGGUGUUUUUGUAAACUGUGUUCACAGAAUAAAGGCUGCAGGGGAAGCUGGGUUCUUUGGAGUGGUCUGAGACCGAGGGCAGAGGUGCUGCUCUGAGA
Long non-coding RNA from Astatotilapia calliptera (eastern happy), 1058 nucleotides. The record is from Ensembl. NCBI's taxonomy places the organism in Eukaryota, Metazoa, Chordata, Actinopteri, Cichliformes, Cichlidae.